GAGUCAACGCGCAAUUUGCAUGACCUGACUCUGGAUCAGGUAAUCGGUGGUUCGAAUCCACCCUCCCCA
This 69-nucleotide transfer RNA is filed under the name Chloroflexota bacterium. RNAcentral describes it as "tRNA-Gln". Lineage: Bacteria; Bacillati; Chloroflexota. The record is from RNAcentral.